AAAACUUGUCUAUCACAAAAGUAAACUUUGGUUGACACGUUACAGUGACGCAUUGCAAAGGUAUCUUGAAGGCAUGAACCAGGCGAAAGACGAACGAAGAAAGAAAGCGACCGGGGAAGCACAUAUUCUAAUUGUUCUCCAAUUGUUCGCGUGAACAUUUUUAUUUAUCUCUGCUGCUGAACAAUGGGUGUAAAAAAGAUAAGACCGCUAACUACUUCAUUGUUACAGACCACACAAACACGUUCACGUCAGUGUA
RNAcentral lists this long non-coding RNA (256 nucleotides) under Setaria italica (foxtail millet). RNAcentral describes it as "long non-coding RNA (SITA_LNC004061)". The record is from RNAcentral. Lineage: Eukaryota; Viridiplantae; Streptophyta; Magnoliopsida; Poales; Poaceae.